GUAUAGCGGGAACGUUCAGCGGAGCGGGAACGUUCAGUAGAGCGGGAACGUUCAGUGGAGCGGGAACGUUCAGUAGAGCGGGAACGUUCGUAGGGAGCGGGAACGUUCAGUAUAGCGGGAACGUUCAGUAUAGCGGGAACGUUCAGUGGAGCGGGAACGUUCAGUAUAGCGGGAACGUUCAGUAUAGUGGGAACGUUCAGUGGAGCGGGAACGUUCAGUAUAGCGGGAACGUUCAGCGGAGCGGGAACGUUCAGUAUAGCGGGAACGUUCAGUGGAGCGGGAACGUUCAGUAUAGCGGGAACGUUCAGUAUAGCGGGAACGUUCAGCGGAGCGGGAACGUUCAGUGGAGCGGGAACGUUCAGUGGAGGGAACGUUCAGCGGAGCGGGAACGUUCAGUGGAGCGGGAACGUUCAGCGGAGCGGGAACGUUCAGUGGAGCGGGAACGUACACUAGGCUCGUGUCAAGUUGCGUCCGGUGGUAUCAGGCGUCGGUAUCUGAGCGCAGUGAGACACGCGUGGUGUAGGACCCAUAACGGAUCUCGGUACCGGUACCGAUGCGUCCCUGACGCUGAUACGAGCGCUGUCCCGUAAACAAGGGACGACACGGUGACGCCGUCGUUACAUGCCCACUCGAGGAUGCUUUUAUUUGAGAAUUUCAGGUCAGCGCUCGUUUCCUUCACGCCGUCGGCCUCAACAGCGAAUUGUGAAUUUCUUACGAGCGCAAUCUUUUUGUGAAUUCAAGAACGAACUGUUAUUUUUCUACCGAAGUAAAUCAGAUAUUCUAUACACCACCAUGCAAACGUCGUAGAGAUUUUACCGAGGCGUAUCGCGUCGUGUAUCGAGCUGUCCUCGUUCGCGCUCGUGCGUGGUUUUUCUGUUUAGUUUCGUUUUGUUUUGUUCGUAGCGGAAGUGCACAGGGGACGACACCGGCCCCUCGAUCAGGACAAACGAGCCUCCGUCGUUUUGUACUCGAUAUGAAGUGGAUUCUUCUGAACCGAACGGAAUCACUGGGACGCGAACGCACGCCAAGUCGUGUCGCUGGUCAGAGUUUAUGUUUAUGGAUUUUUUAAGUUUGUUUCUAAUGUUCGUUUAAAGCAUUAGCGCGACGGUGUAGAAGCGGUUUGCUCACACGGUUUGUUUUUUUUGUUGUUGUUUUUUUUAUAUGAAUAAGCUUUAGGACUAAUGCGUUGAUUCCCAAAUCCCAAGUGUACAGGAUGCACAUGUUUUGGAAAGAAAAAGAGAAGAAAUAUUCCCAGUUUAUUUGCUAUAGCCUGUUGAUUUAGAUUCGCCUCGGAUCAUGGGGGUCGAUGGGAAUUGUAGUCUUUGCUGCUAACUGGAUUCGUGAUAUUUUUGUCCGUGUUGAUUUGACGAUUCAUUGAUGAAAUUGUACUCGGACAUGGAUUGGUCAACUUUGUUAUCGAAGCAUCGGUCAUAAUCUUAAACCGGGUUACAAAAGCAUUUUGUAAGAAGUUGUUUCAGAGAUUACAAGUUAGUCAUUUGUAUUUAAAAAAAAAAAGAAAAAAAAAAAAAAGAUAUAAACGAAAGAAGAAAAAAAAAAAAUCAAACUCUACUUAUCGGCCAUUUUGUGGCUCUUCACCUUUGAUCACUUUACUACUUCAAGCCACCCUGCCAGAUUUCUAGUCUUUUUACUAAAGGACGGUUUUUCAGCUGAAGCUUUGGAAAGCUGGGACACUACUUUAUUAUCUGGGAGGGGAUUAUAUCAGGACUGACACACACACAAAAAAAAAAAAACCUUGAAAAAAUAAAAAAAAGAGGGGGCGGGGGAUUUGGGGCCACACCCACACCCAGCCUUAAAAGUGCCAGAGGCCUCAAAGCCCCUCGCGUAUAUCAUAUAUUACUUACGGGGAAAUGUUUUUAUUUUGUCCACUAGCGUUUGAUAAGCACUCACUACGAAUACGAACGGGUUUAAGGCGUGCACACAGUCCAAAAAAAUAACAAAAAUGAUGAUUUAAAAAAAAAAAAAAUUCAAAAAUACUGACGCGCUUACUUUCUAUGUAUAGUAUCUGUAAUGAGAUGUACAAACUUUAUGAGAUCAUCAUAUUUGGAGAGAAACACGACUCUUUUUUUUUUUUUUUUUGUGGGACGGAUACGGAUCAUGC
Molecule: long non-coding RNA, 2119 nt
Organism: Ictalurus punctatus (channel catfish)
Lineage: Eukaryota; Metazoa; Chordata; Actinopteri; Siluriformes; Ictaluridae
Source: Ensembl